UGUAAUGAAAUAGGUUGCCUAACUCGGAGAAGGGCCUUAGGCAAAUACUGGGAGCCAGAGUCCUAAUCCAAGAGGUGGGAAAGGUAGGAAAAUUGGGGCAAAUACAGAAGCAGAAGGUGUGUGUUCGUGCAGAGGAGCCUCAGCAAACACCCAAGAGAAGGGCUGAUGUCCCAUUGACUUUGACGAUGUGUUUUCCACCAGAUAAUAUAGCAGAAGCAGUCUCAUUUUCAAAAGCCAAGAGGAAAACAGAACACAUUCCUGGUAUUAGACACUAUUCUCAUGAGAAAGUGAGCUAGAGAAAAGAAAAUCAUAAAGAAGAGAAAAUAUAUUCGCUCAUCACGAAGUGGAAGCGGAUCAUCUUAAAGGUCUUCAUUCUUGAUGUCUUCAUGUCAAGUCGGCUGAGGAGGAGGAGGAAGAGGAGGGAUUGGUCUUGCCAUCUCAGGGGUGGCGGAGGCAAAAGAAAAUCCAUGUAUAAGUGGACGCGUGCAGUUCAAUCAUGUGUUGUUCAAGAAUCAACUGUGUAGACUUUCUCCUUCUCUAGACAUGGGACUUCAAGAUAGAAAGGACCCUCUGUCAUCAUUUUUGCAUCUCCAACAGCCACAACAGUGCUUUAUAUACAACAAAAGACCAAUAAAUGCCUAUCAAAUGCAUUGAA
Rhinopithecus roxellana (golden snub-nosed monkey) is the source of this 655-nucleotide long non-coding RNA. RefSeq lists it as uncharacterized. The record is from RefSeq and is a predicted model, not a curated record. NCBI's taxonomy places the organism in Eukaryota, Metazoa, Chordata, Mammalia, Primates, Cercopithecidae. The transcript is spliced from 2 exons.